Myripristis murdjan (pinecone soldierfish) is the source of this 735-nucleotide long non-coding RNA. RefSeq lists it as uncharacterized. The record is from RefSeq and is a predicted model, not a curated record. The transcript has 2 exons. Lineage: Eukaryota; Metazoa; Chordata; Actinopteri; Holocentriformes; Holocentridae.
GCAACCUGAAAGACAGACAGAGAACACCUCAGCUGGUCUGGCGGUGCGGCCCUCUGUACAGCAGUGCCGUGUGAACCCAAAGCUCAAAGGAAGAGUCUGAAUUACUGGGCUGUUUAACUGAGCCUAGGCUGACUUACUGAAGUCUGCUGAUAUGUGACACUUCAUGAAACUUCAUGAAAACAAACACCAAUAUGCUUCAGAAAGAAGUCUCAAAGGACAGCAAUUUGAUAUUAGACAUUUGAUAAUUAUGUCUUCUUCUUCCUACUGUAAUCCCUCAUCUACACUGAACGUUCUCCUCUGCUUGUUAUAAAGCACAUUUUUAUCAUCUUACUGAGUGGAGGUUGACAGGAAGUUAACCCAUAACCCUAAGAGAUACACACUGUAACUCAGUGAGCCCCAAGGCUCUAGAUGAUAGCUCCUUUUUAACAAGUCUUUAUAUCAUUUAGAUUAUCAUGCAGGCAUUCUAAAAGAAAACAUUUAAUUAUAAGAUGUAAAGUCUUACCUUGUAUUUACAAUGGCAAGUGCUCUGCUUACGUUACAUAGGAUAUGUCAUAUAAUGCAAUUGUUGAUUGAUAUGAUAAAUUAUAUGAUAAUCAAGUAAAAGUGUGAUUCAAAAUAAAAGAAUACACACGUAGAUAGCAGAGGAUUUACAUUAUAUUUUCCUUUGUCACAUGUAAGCUCUUUACCCAACUUCAAAAUGUGUCAAUACUUGUUAGCUUAUUGCUGUACUGUAUU